AUUGAACGCUGGCGGAAUGCUUUACACAUGCAAGUCGAACGGCAGCAUAGGUGCUUGCACCUGAUGGCGAGUGGCGAACGGGUGAGUAAUACAUCGGAACGUGCCCAGUCGUGGGGGAUAACGUAGCGAAAGUUACGCUAAUACCGCAUACGAUCUAAGGAUGAAAGCGGGGGACCGUAAGGCCUUGCGCGAUUGGAGCGGCCGAUGUCAGAUUAGGUAGUUGGUGAGGUAAAGGCUCACCAAGCCGACGAUCUGUAGCUGGUCUGAGAGGACGACCAGCCACACUGGGACUGAGACACGGCCCAGACUCCUACGGGAGGCAGCAGUGGGGAAUUUUGGACAAUGGACGCAAGUCUGAUCCAGCCAUUCCGCGUGCAGGACGAAGGCCUUCGGGUUGUAAACUGCUUUUGUACGGAACGAAAAAGCUCUUACUAAUACUAGGAGUCCAUGACGGUACCGUAAGAAUAAGCACCGGCUAACUACGUGCCAGCCGCCGCCGUAA
Molecule: ribosomal RNA, 502 nt
Filed under: uncultured bacterium
Lineage: Bacteria
Description: partial 16S ribosomal RNA
Rfam family: Bacterial small subunit ribosomal RNA
Source: RNAcentral